CCUAGAGUUGUAGGCUUUGCCUGCUAUCUCUUACCCAUGUCUUUUGAGUACUUACGCUUCCUCGGCGGGUCCGCCCGCCGAUUGGACAAUUUAAACCAUUUGCAGUUGCAAUCAGCGUCUGAAAAACUUUAAUAGUUA
This 138-nucleotide unclassified non-coding RNA is filed under the name soil metagenome. RNAcentral describes it as "partial internal transcribed spacer 1". The record is from RNAcentral.